Danio rerio (zebrafish) is the source of this 654-nucleotide non-coding RNA. The record is from RefSeq and is a predicted model, not a curated record. NCBI's taxonomy places the organism in Eukaryota, Metazoa, Chordata, Actinopteri, Cypriniformes, Danionidae.
GCUGGGGGCGUGUCUCUGUGUGUCUGUCAGUGCGUGACGCCGUCUAGUGGAGCGCUGGAGAACUGCAGUUCAGGAUCAACACGAGCUGCAGCAGCACACAGGAGACUGAAGCUUUAAACUCAUCCAGUUGUAAACAAAGUCAUCAUUUUGACAGGAUUUCGACUCGCAAAACAUCGUGGGUUAACUCUGUGCACUCAACUGAGAGGAUGUCUUCUGGUGAUGGAUCUACACUGAUAUCUGUUCAUUACGCUGCACAUGUCGUCUCUCUCUCGUCUCUGAUGGACUCAGUUCAGCUCAUGCAGCUCUCUGAAACAUGCUGAGGAUUUCAAGAAGAGAGAAGCCAUGUGCAGGAUCUGGAAAUACAGCUUUACAUGUGAACUGAAGCCAUGAGGAAGAGGAAGGUGGUUCUUCAUCAUAUCCUCACUGAUGAAGCCCUGACUUUACACUCUUUACCUAUAAUGUCCACCUGAUUACGGGCCUGUUUCAAUACACACACGUCUGCUCUUGAACACAUCAAAGCAUCUGAACAUGAUAUCUGAGGCUGAACGUUUCCCAUCAGGCAUCAUGUUCUAGUUCUAGUCUUCAGUGUUAAAGUUAUGCUGAUAAGAUCUAUAACCUGACAGUAAAAAUAAAGAAUUGCAGCAUUUAUGACUG